Molecule: unclassified non-coding RNA, 569 nt
Filed under: Ruditapes philippinarum (Manila clam)
Lineage: Eukaryota; Metazoa; Mollusca; Bivalvia; Venerida; Veneridae
Description: sequence contains 5.8S rRNA gene, ITS2 and 28S rRNA gene
Rfam family: 5.8S ribosomal RNA (bases 1-125)
Source: RNAcentral
GCGUCGAUGAAGAGCGCAGCCAGCUGCGUGAAUUAAUGUGAAUUGCAGGACACACUGAACAUCGACACCUUGAACGCACAUUGCGGCUCUGGCUCACUGCCAGAGCCACGCCUGUCCGAGGGUCGGCGAACAAGUCAUCGGCUCUCACUGUUCACUACAGUGAGGGGCGAGUUGGCGCGUCGCGCGGGCUUUCGUCCCGCUCGUCCGCCGUAGAUUCCAGCCUCUCUCUGCCGGUCGAACCAGUCGCUGGAAGUGGCGCGGAGACAGGGCUCGAACGGGCCCGCACGUCCCGCUCCGCGUCCUCCUUCACCGGAGGGCGGCCUUCCGUGCGGCGUCGUCGCCGGCAAAAGCGAGAGAGAGCGGCGAAGGACGGGUCUAGCCAGCCCGGCCCCCAGCCGAAACCGGAGACGCGGGGAGACAGGCCGACUGACGACGACGACUCCAGCGAUGGGGUCCGAGUCCGAUGACGCCUCAACCCCCGCACCACCUCCAAAAAAUUCAUCCGACCUCGGAUCAGACGGGACUACCCGCUGAAUUUAAGCAUAUCAGUAAGCGGAGGAAAAGAAACU